This 252-nucleotide ribosomal RNA is filed under the name uncultured bacterium. Its description in RNAcentral is "partial 16S ribosomal RNA". It matches the Rfam family "Bacterial small subunit ribosomal RNA", at positions 524 to 776 of the family's 1533-position model. The record is from RNAcentral.
UACGGAGGAUGCGAGCGUUAUCCGGAUUUAUUGGGUUUAAAGGGUGCGUAGGCGGACUGGAAAGUCAGCGGUAAAAUCGAGAGGCUCAACCUCUUUCCGCCGUUGAAACUGUCGGUCUUGAGUGGGGGAGAAGUAUGCGGAAUGCGUGGUGUAGCGGUGAAAUGCAUAGAUAUCACGCAGAACUCCGAUUGCGAAGGCAGCAUACCGGCGCCCGACUGACGCUGAGGCACGAAAGCGUGGGUAUCGAACAGG